This 773-nucleotide long non-coding RNA is filed under the name Apteryx owenii (little spotted kiwi). RNAcentral describes it as "lncRNA (ENSAOWG00000012901.1)". Lineage: Eukaryota; Metazoa; Chordata; Aves; Apterygiformes; Apterygidae. The record is from RNAcentral.
AUGAAUUCCAGUGUCACCAAAGUCACAAGAAGGCCAGCCCUACCGGAAACCCCUGCUUUAAAUGAAGGAAUCGCUCGGACGAAAGGAGCGGUUUUCCGAAGGCAGCUGGAUCAAAGUGAAGUCACUCAGAAUAGCCCGCACGCAGGUUUCCUUUUGCUCCUAGGUUCACGCAGAGUGUUAGGCGCUCGGUGGCCCGGUCCGGCCCCUCCAGCGAGGAGACGUUCGGCGGGACACUCCGCGAGGAGCUCCUCUCUCUGCUAGCCCUGAGAAUAUCCUGGGAUCUCUCUCUCUCUUUUUUUUUUUUUUUUAAGACUUUAAAAAUAAUUUGGUGGAUCUCUAAUCUAGUUAUCUGCUGUAACUGCAAUAUGCGCUGUAUGUCUGACUCCCACAGACGAAGGCCUCUGUUUCCUUUCUGCCAGUACCUUAGUAUCUGCCUUGCCCAGGAGUCUGCUGAUGAAGACUUCCUGUUUGUUUUGAGUCACUGCUGGAGUGAUAAAUAUACUUCAGCUUUUCUCCUCCGAGAGGAAAGAAACCAGCUGCCCCGAACUACAGAGAAAAUAUGUAGAAAUUCCACCAAAGGGCCCCGUUAUCAUGGAGCUUCUAUGGCAGCAUGAAAAAAUGAGUAUUACAAGCUACGACAAAGGAGCAAUUUACAUAUUAAAACGGCCUUCCGCCCGCAUGGACUUAAGUUGUUUGCCUUUAAUCAUUUAUUUUCACUCUAUAACUUUAAUUUGGAGUGUUUUGGAAAUAAAUAAAUAAAUGCAAAACCCCCA